Molecule: unclassified non-coding RNA, 283 nt
Filed under: Hevea brasiliensis (rubber tree)
Lineage: Eukaryota; Viridiplantae; Streptophyta; Magnoliopsida; Malpighiales; Euphorbiaceae
Source: RNAcentral
UCGCCAUUUUUCAGAUCUCAAUCACCUGAUGACAAUGAACUACAAAGGAAAAUAACCCAAAACCGAGACUUGCUUUCUUGUGAUUCACAACACUGAAGGGAUCAGAGACUGAUAUUUAUAGUCCAAAAAUCGAAACUUCACCCACCAAAUACUACCAAAAAGAAAUAAUAAAUUACAAUAAAGGAAAAAGAAAAAGAGAGAGCCUUUAAAAUCACGUUAAUCCAAACAAAAAUCAUAAAAGCCUUCGAAUUUACGAAAGUAAUAAUAGAGUGUGUCCUUGAUG